Molecule: ribosomal RNA, 257 nt
Filed under: uncultured bacterium
Lineage: Bacteria
Description: partial 16S ribosomal RNA
Rfam family: Bacterial small subunit ribosomal RNA
Source: RNAcentral
GCAAGUCGAGGGGCCGCGGGUAGAUGAGCUUGCUCAUUUAUGCCGGCGACCGGCGCACGGGAGAGUAACACGUAUGCAACCUGCCCGUCUCAGGGGGAUAAUCGUCGGAAACGGCGUCUAAUACCCCGUAUGAAGCCGGACGGCAUCGACUGGAUUUGCAAGAAUAUCGGAGACGGAUGGGCAUGCGGCGCAUUAGCUAGUUGGCGAGGUAACGGCCCACCAAGGCGACGAUGCGUAGGGGUUCUGAGAGGGAGGUC